UAACCUACAUUCUGCCACAUGGCUGGUUAC
Molecule: non-coding RNA, 30 nt
Filed under: Mus musculus (house mouse)
Lineage: Eukaryota; Metazoa; Chordata; Mammalia; Rodentia; Muridae
Source: RNAcentral